AGAGUAAAAUAGGAUUUUCAAUGUACUAACCCGUUAUAUGAUUCAAUCUAUUGAUCACUUGAAGAUGGUGAUGAAGGCUGAUCAAACACUAUCUUUGCAAGAUGUGCGUAUUUACUCCCUAGCUCAUCAUAUUUACUCUCUAUCCCUUCCAAACGUCCUUUUUGUUAGAAACACGUUCUCAAUGCAAUAUACUAAACGUGUACUCUUUUGUAGGUUUUGAUGAAUGACAAACGAAGCAAAAAUUGAUAUUAUGACGGAAUUCAAGUACAAGCGCACAAUGGUUGCGAAUAAGAUUGAAGUUCAAGAUAUAGCUCUUAAUUGUUAUUGAGUUGUUCUAAGACUGUAAUCUCGAUCCUAUAACUUGACUCAUAGUAUAGCCUCUCUCAUAAAACUAUUUUCCAAAAUCAUGCAUAUUUAAUUCUGUGUCAAAAAGAUUUUAAAUCAUGCAUAUUUACAUUAGACAANNNNN
Molecule: long non-coding RNA, 469 nt
Filed under: Nicotiana benthamiana
Lineage: Eukaryota; Viridiplantae; Streptophyta; Magnoliopsida; Solanales; Solanaceae
Description: long non-coding RNA (NBEN_LNC008017)
Source: RNAcentral